Molecule: ribosomal RNA, 325 nt
Filed under: uncultured eukaryote
Lineage: Eukaryota
Description: partial 18S ribosomal RNA
Rfam family: Eukaryotic small subunit ribosomal RNA
Source: RNAcentral
CCCUUAGAUGUUCUGGGCCGCACGCGCGCUACACUGAUGCAUUCAACGAGCCUAUCCUUGACCGACAGGUCCGGGUAAUCUUUGAAUCUGCAUCGUGACGGGGAUAGAUUAUUGCAAUUAUUAAUCUUCAACGAGGAAUGCCUAGUAGGCGCAAGUCAUCAGCUUGCGUCGAUUACGUCCCUGCCCUUUGUACACACCGCCCGUCGAUCCUACCGAUUGGGUGUGCUGGUGAAAUGUUCGGAUCGGCCGUUUGUCGCGGUUUCCGCGUCAUGUGGCUGAGAAGUUCAUUAAACCCUCCCACCUAGAGGAAGGAGAAGUCGUAACA